GAUGAACGCUAGCGAUAGGCUUAACACAUGCAAGUCGAGGGGCAGCAUGGUCUUAGCUUGCUAAGGCUGAUGGCGACCGGCGCACGGGUGCGUAACGCGUAUGCAACUUGCCUCACAGAGGGGGAUAACCCGUCGAAAGACGGACUAAUACCGCGUACACUCUAUGUUGGGCAUCCAAUGUAGAGGAAAUGAAAUUCGCUGUGAGAUAGGCAUGCGUCCUAUUAGCUAGUUGGUGAGGUAACGGCUCACCAAGGCGACGAUGGGUAGGGGAACUGAGAGGUUGAACCCCCACACUGGUACUGAGACACGGACCAGACUCCUACGGGAGGCAGCAGUGAGGAAUAUUGGUCAAUGGGCGAGAGCCUGAACCAGCCAAGUCGCGUGAAGGAUGACUGUCUUAUGGAUUGUAAACUUCUUUUAUACGGGAAUAACAAGAGUCACGUGUGGCUCCCUGCAUGUACCGUAUGAAUAAGCAUCGGCUAACUCCGUG
RNAcentral lists this ribosomal RNA (490 nucleotides) under uncultured bacterium. RNAcentral's name for it is "partial 16S ribosomal RNA". It matches the Rfam family "Bacterial small subunit ribosomal RNA", at positions 28 to 507 of the family's 1533-position model. The record is from RNAcentral.